RNAcentral lists this ribosomal RNA (247 nucleotides) under uncultured bacterium. Its description in RNAcentral is "partial 16S ribosomal RNA". It matches the Rfam family "Bacterial small subunit ribosomal RNA", at positions 86 to 334 of the family's 1533-position model. The record is from RNAcentral.
AGAUGGCGACCGGCGCACGGGUGAGUAACACGUAUCCAACCUGCCGAUAACUCGGGGAUAGCCUUUCGAAAGAAAGAUUAAUACCCGAUGGUAUAAUCAGACCGCAUGGUUUGAUUAUUAAAGAAUUUCGGUUAUCGAUGGGGAUGCGUUCCAUUAGGCAGUUGGUGAGGUAACGGCUCACCAAACCUUCAAUGGAUAGGGGUUCUGAGAGGAAGGUCCCCCACAUUGGAACUGAGACACGGUCCAA